Molecule: ribosomal RNA, 254 nt
Filed under: Gemmatirosa sp.
Lineage: Bacteria; Pseudomonadati; Gemmatimonadota; Gemmatimonadia; Gemmatimonadales; Gemmatimonadaceae
Also listed under: 2 other names
Description: partial 16S ribosomal RNA
Rfam family: Bacterial small subunit ribosomal RNA
Source: RNAcentral
UACGGAGGGUGCGAGCGUUGUCCGGAAUCACUGGGCGUAAAGGGCGCGUAGGUGGCCUGUGGAAGUCUGCGGUGAAAGCCCGGCGCUCAACGCCGGGUCGGCCGUGGAUACUCUCGGGCUCGAGCUUACUAGAGGCAGAUGGAAUUCCGGGUGUAGCGGUGGAAUGCGUAGAGAUCCGGAAGAACACCGGUGGCGAAGGCGGUCUGCUGGGGUAAUGCUGACACUGAUGCGCGACAGCGUGGGGAGCAAACAGG